Molecule: long non-coding RNA, 561 nt
Organism: Homo sapiens (human)
Lineage: Eukaryota; Metazoa; Chordata; Mammalia; Primates; Hominidae
Exons: 2
Source: RefSeq, a predicted model, not a curated record
CAGUAGGAGGCUGGACUCGGAGCGGCGCGGCGCCCGGGGCUGUUUCGUGAGCUGGAGCCAGCGGCUGCCCGGGCGGCGGUGCGCGCACUCUCCAGGCUGAGACACGACUGGCUGGCACGAGUUGCUCGGCACCAGCUGAGCUGUCAACCGCGAGCGGAGGCGGGGCUCCCGACAACCAGUGUGCUGGGGCACAAUCGGCCCAGGUUGCACGCCCCCUGAACCACCCUCGCGUCUCCCCGACCCCUCUCUCGCUGGCUCAGAUGAAUGAUGACGGCAGAGGGCAGAGAGCUUAGAGGACGCCGUACCAAGCCCCGUCCCUCGCCCAUCCCAACGAAGGUCUUAGAAUACAAUCAACCAACUACAGGAAGAAUUUGUAGAGGAGGUUUUCUUGUGUGUCUGCAUCGCCCCACCCACAGCCAUGUGAGGACACAGCAUCUGUGGCAACAAGGAGCCAUCUUGGGAGCAGAGAGCAAGCUCUUCCAGACACUGAAUCUGCCAGCACCUUGAUCUUGGUCCAGCCUUCAGAACUGUGAGAAAUAAAUUUCUAUUAUUCACAAAUUA